GAUGAACGCUAGCGGCAGGCUUAAUACAUGCAAGUCGAACGGUAACAGGAGAGCUUGCUCUUGCUGACGAGUGGCGCACGGGUGCGUAACGCGUAUGCAACCUACCUUACACAGGGGGAUAGCCCGGAGAAAUUCGGAUUAAUACCCCAUGGUACUAUAAAGCCUCCUGGUUUAAUAGUUAAAGCAUUGUGGUGUAAGAUGGGCAUGCGUCUAAUUAGCUAGUUGGUAAGGUAACGGCUUACCAAGGCUACGAUUAGUAGGGGGUCUGAGAGGAUUAUCCCCCACACUGGCACUGAGAUACGGGCCAG
Molecule: ribosomal RNA, 308 nt
Filed under: uncultured bacterium
Lineage: Bacteria
Description: bacterial SSU rRNA
Rfam family: Bacterial small subunit ribosomal RNA
Source: RNAcentral